This 433-nucleotide ribosomal RNA is filed under the name uncultured bacterium. RNAcentral describes it as "bacterial SSU rRNA". It matches the Rfam family "Bacterial small subunit ribosomal RNA", at positions 335 to 762 of the family's 1533-position model. The record is from RNAcentral.
ACUCCUACGGGAGGCAGCAGUGGGGAAUAUUGCACAAUGGGGGAAACCCUGAUGCAGCCAUGCCGCGUGUGUGAAGAAGGCCUUCGGUUGUAAAGCACUUUCAGUAGGGAGGAAGGUAGUGUAGUUAACACCUGCAUUAUUUGACGUUACCUACAGAAGAAGCACCGGCUAACUCCGUGCCAGCAGCCGCGGUAAUACGGAGGGUGCGAGCGUUAAUCGGAAUUACUGGGCGUAAAGCGCAUGCAGGCGGCCUGUUAAGUCAGAUGUGAAAGCCCGGGGCUUAACCUCGGAAUUGCAUUUGAAACUGGCAGGCUAGAGUCUUGUAGAGGGGGGUAGAAUUUCAGGUGUAGCGGUGAAAUGCGUAGAGAUCUGAAGGAAUACCAGUGGCGAAGGCGGCCCCUGGACAAAGACUGACGCUCAGAUGCGAAAGCGU